AUCCAGUUGACGAGUUCCGAAAGGGACGAAAUGCGCAUCCUAGAU
This 45-nucleotide non-coding RNA is filed under the name Trichobilharzia regenti. Lineage: Eukaryota; Metazoa; Platyhelminthes; Trematoda; Strigeidida; Schistosomatidae. The record is from RNAcentral.